UUCAUGCACACGAGACGAUUCACGAUUGUCCCAACAUGGUCCCAAGCUCAAGUAAAAACUAGAAAAGAAUUCGAAAAGUGAAAUCAAUAUCAUAUCAGCAUAAGUUAACAUUCCAUUUGUCAUCAUUUGCAACGUAAUGAAGACCAUUUUGUUGAAGCUGGACAAAAAUUCUAAGUUCUGUCAUCAAUCCUGCAGCUGUGCAUGUUUUGUAAAUGGUGAAUCUCAAAUGAAUCCAAGAACUUUGAGUCGUCAUUUUACUUAAUUGACUUUCUUUUCAAAUUUUAAAAAUGGUUUGAACACGCUCCAGCUUGAACACGUCAUCUAAAUAACAUUUUCUACAUCUACAAUUCAUUGUGUUUGUCUUGAGGUCUUUGUUUGAUUUUUCUAGGUGAUAAAUGAAGGGUACUUACCUGAGCAGCUGAGCUCUGCCUUUCUGUGGUUCCUUUCAAUUGAUUCAUUUGAGUUUAAUCCCUCGCCGCUGUUCCAGACCUUAUCCACUAGUGGAAUAUGCCGAGAGAUGUUGAACUUAUUCCAGGUUAUCCCUUCGCCAUUGUGCUACAAUUUGAAGAAGUUGACUGUUUCACAAGAGCUUUUGCUUUCAAUUAAUAUCUAUAAAUUGUGUAAAUGUGAUAACUUACAAGUGCAUAUCUGGGCUCCUUUCUUUUAUGUGCCCCGUUUCCCUAACUAAAUAAUAUCCAAUGCCCGCCGGUAGUCACUCACCCGCUGUGAAACCAGAAGGAUGAGGAGGGCUUUGUUUUGAAUUUCAUCACUUAUUUACGCGUCGAAAUUUCUUAACGUUCAUUGAACAAAUAUGCGCAUUUUAAUUUA
Daphnia pulex (common water flea) is the source of this 828-nucleotide RNA transcript. RefSeq lists it as uncharacterized. The transcript has 5 exons. NCBI's taxonomy places the organism in Eukaryota, Metazoa, Arthropoda, Branchiopoda, Diplostraca, Daphniidae. The record is from RefSeq and is a predicted model, not a curated record.